UGUCAUUAGUGUAAGAUCCGCUCACAUGUGUCCAUAGCCUCUGUGUCUGUGAAGAGUGACCAUUCAAAGGGAGAUGGACCAGACUUCAGUGAGAAAACACCAUGUCACAAGAGUGUAAGAUCAGGCUCACAUGUGUCCAGCUCUGUGUCUGUGAAGAGUGACCAUCAUUCAAAGGGAGAUGGGACCAGACUUCAGUGAGAAAACACCAUGUAACAAGAGUGAAAGAUCUGACUCGCAUGUAUCCAGCUUUGUGUCUAUGGGAGAGUGACCAUUCAAAGGGAGAUGGACCAGAAUUCAAUGAGAGAAAACACACCAUCCC
Cyprinus carpio (common carp) is the source of this 319-nucleotide long non-coding RNA. RefSeq lists it as uncharacterized. Lineage: Eukaryota; Metazoa; Chordata; Actinopteri; Cypriniformes; Cyprinidae. The record is from RefSeq and is a predicted model, not a curated record. The transcript has 3 exons.